RNAcentral lists this ribosomal RNA (506 nucleotides) under uncultured bacterium. RNAcentral describes it as "partial 16S ribosomal RNA". It matches the Rfam family "Bacterial small subunit ribosomal RNA", at positions 30 to 523 of the family's 1533-position model. The record is from RNAcentral.
AUUGAACGCUGGCGGCAGGCCUAACACAUGCAAGUCGAACGGCAGCACAGAAGAGCUUGCUCUUUGGGUGGCGAGUGGCGGACGGGUGAGUAAUGUCUGGGAAACUGCCCGAUGGAGGGGGAUAACUACUGGAAACGGUAGCUAAUACCGCAUAACGUCGCAAGACCAAAGUGGGGGACCUUCGGGCCUCACACCAUCGGAUGUGCCCAGAUGGGAUUAGCUAGUAGGUGGGGUAAUGGCUCACCUAGGCGAAGAUCCCUAGCUGGUCUGAGAGGAUGACCAGCCACACUGGAACUUAGACACGGUCCAGACCCCUACGGGAGGCAGCAGUGGGGAAUAUUGCACAAUGGGCGCAAGCCUGAUGCAGCCAUGCCGCGUGUAUGAAGAAGGCCUUCGGGUUGUAAAGUACUUUCAGCGGGGAGGAAGGCGGUGAGGUUAAUAACCUCGCCGAUUGACGUUACCCGCAGAAGAAGCACCGGCUAACUCCGUGCCAGCCGCCGCCGUAA